This 94-nucleotide microRNA precursor is filed under the name Sorghum bicolor (sorghum). RNAcentral describes it as "MIR5387 microRNA precursor family". It matches the Rfam family "MIR5387 microRNA precursor family". The record is from Rfam by way of RNAcentral. Lineage: Eukaryota; Viridiplantae; Streptophyta; Magnoliopsida; Poales; Poaceae.
UUGUAACAAGGGCCGGUGCCAAAGGGUCCUUCCCAACGGCUACUGACAGGUGCUGUCGGAGCAGGAACCCUUUAGCACCGGUUUGCGUUACCAA